Molecule: non-coding RNA, 4690 nt
Organism: Lolium perenne
Lineage: Eukaryota; Viridiplantae; Streptophyta; Magnoliopsida; Poales; Poaceae
Source: RefSeq, a predicted model, not a curated record
CCUACGCCGUUCGUGGCGGCGGCGGCGGGUGGACGCGACGGCGAUGCCGAUGCCUCCAGCGUCCGCGACUCCGGCCGAAUACCUCUACGCUCGAAUGCUAGACUCCCAGCGAACGAUUUCCUUUCAUGCAGCAACGAGAUGCGUAGCGCGCCACAUGGAAUCUGCUUCCUGAAGGUGGGAUCCGGAUAACAAGUGAUAACUGAUUUCCGCACUAGUACAUUGCUCCAGUUCCUGGAUGCACAUCCCGAGGGACGCUGCACACCUUUGUGGAGCUGAAUAUACGUCUGAAGAGUUCAGGUUGCUCGUUACCGGCUCUUCUUAUUUCAGUCUUGUUCUUUGGUACCUUUGUUUGAUUUCGGAACUGUUAAAUGAUGUCGACAUUUGGUUUAAUUCGACUCGGCAAGCAAAUACGGGCAGUGCUUCAAAUAUGAUCCUAAUUGUCUAUUUUUCUAAUUGAAUUAUUGCAGCGUACUGAAUUUGCUUCCUUGUUGUGUAGCAUACUCCAGUAAUGACUUAUUCCGCCUCAUUUGCUGUUUUCAAUUUUUGAAUGCGCAUUCCUAUGUGAUGCUACACAUUAUGUGGAACAGAAGGGACAUUUGAGAAGUUAUUUGUAGGGACAUCUGAGAAGUUAUUCGUUUUUUUUUCUCGCCUACUGUCUUGAGAACCCUUUUUUUCCAGUGGUCUCUAUUGAAAUUUUUGUUUGAUUCUCAAACUAUUUUGUUGCCAGUAAUGGGUUGCGUUCUAUGCCAAAAGUUUGCAUGUUUAGAGCUUUAAACGGUUCCAUUUUCAAUUCAACAUUUCUGUUUUGAAAUGGUGCAUUGUGCUAAAUCCAUGUGAUACUCCAAUGAUGACUUAUUUCGCCUCCUAUAUCGUUCCAAUUCCUGAAAGCACAUCUAUGAGAUGGUGUAUGUUAUGUGGAGCAGAAGGGACAACUGAGGAGUUUUUUUCUCGCUUAAAAUUUGAAAAAUCCCUUUUUUGGAAAAGUUGGUGUGAUCCCACAUGCUGUUUUACACUUGGUUGAAUUUGAUGCCAUUUGCAAACAUGCAUCGAGUUUCAAACUUGGUUACUUUUCAAGAUUUUUGGUCUGGCUGGUUCCGAACAACCAAACAUAUUAUGAGCUACAUUGUGGCGAGCCAAAUCAUGAAUUUCAGAAAGGCUAGGUAUUUUGUUUGUUAGUCUGACGGGUACAGACUCUAAGCGUUGAAUCUGACAUUGCAUCUGUUAAUUUGGUGCUAAUUAUUUGUUUGUUUUCUUCAGAUAAGUUUUAAUAAGCUUUUAUUCACCACUGGAGAAAUCAGCAUUAGUUAUAAGUAUUUAUGGUUCACGGUAAUAAGCUCACAAGAAGCCUUCUCUUCUCCGCGGAGUUAACAACCCAGUUUCACUUUAGCUCAUGAGCAAGACAGGUGAGGUGCCAUCUCCUAAGCUCUCUAGAUGAUCAGUGGCCUUGAUGCUCGAAUAACCCAGGAAUAUUUGUGACAUCAGUUUUGCACAAGGUGAGAUUGAGACCAUAAGAAUUAUCCUCCAUUAGGCAUGUCCAAGUCGUGUGACCAACACUACAAGAAAAGAGAAGGCGCCAACAAAGCUAGCGGGGAACUUGCUUACAGGAUUAGACCCAGACAGCACCACCUUCCACCAGCCCUCGACCCACCUGCCCUGUUCGGUGAUAACCUGCAUUAGUACCCAUCACAGUAUCAGGCUCAAACCAAACUGAUAGUUCUAUUCGACACCGUAGCUGGAGGAGUCAAUGACAAAAAAACUACCACAAUUGAGGCAAUUGUGUCACAUAACUACCAAAUGUGUUUGUUUUGUCACGUGACUACCAUUAUUGGGGCACGUUCGUGACGAAGAGCACUGAUUUUCUAAUUUGCGCGUUCUUCGCCCCUUCCCCCGCCCAAAUUCCAGCCGCCGCGCGUCUUUGAGGACCCGACCGAGACCGCCGGCGACCCCCCGCUACGUCCUCCAUAGCUUGUCGCCCCCGUCGGUUUGGCUCCGGCGCCGCUGGCCAAGCAUGCUCCGCCGGCCAAGCUUGCUCUGCCGGACAGCCCGCAACUCCGUCGACGAUGGGUCCCUCCGCCCCGCGUUUCAGGACUUGCAGCUAUGCGCCGUCAGUACCUCUGCCCGCCGCCGUCCUUGCCGUUGAGCGCCUUGCGGGGCGGCGGAUAUGGGCCUCCCCGAGAGAGGCCGCGGGGGAAACGGAGAGGGGAGAGCGCGGCUGCGACGGUGGCGGGGUGUUGCGCCAUCAGGUACAACUCUUCUCGCCGUCGAACCCGGCGGCGAUCGAGGAGACUGGGCGGCAGCGCUGUGUUCUAGGCGCUGGGGAGGUGGAUGGCAACGGACUCGACGCGCGUGGGCGUCCUCCUGGUGCAUCGGCGGCACCCUCCUGGUGCACCGGUGACGACCUGACGCGCGUGGACGACAUACCAGCGGCCUAGCUUGACAGAGGAAGGAGAAGACCCUCUGCCUUUUUUUAAUGGGAAUUCCUAUUUUUAAUUUUUUUAUGUGGGGGAUUGGAUCUGUGUGACACAAAAAUAUAUUUUGAGGUUACUUUUGCAAAAUGGAACUAGCAGUUAGGUUUCCACCUGCCACGUAGUCGUGGGCCCGAAUAGUUAGAAAAUGGUUUAACACGUCAUGAACAUGCCCCAGUAGUGGUAGUCAUGUGACAAAACAAACACAUUUGGUAGUUCCGUGACACGACUGCCUUAAUUGUGGUAGUUUUUUGUCAGUUACUCUAGCUGGAGACUUUUGGCAGAUGCGUCCACCAAAUGCUACCAGCGACUCACGUAUCAUUGAGAUGGAUGGCACACUUGGCAUCUACAACCAUAACACUGCAACGGAAGCUGUUGAUAUAUGGGUGUUGCAGGACUACAAAUGUCAGGUUUGGGACUUGAAGUACAGAGUCUUGUUGCCGGUUGCAGAAAUCAGGGACUGGUUUUAAGGCUGCACUGAUUGCUCGUGGCCAAUGGAUGUUGCUUUGGUGGAUGGUGACGUGCUCUUGCUGGUCUGUUUUGGUCAGUGGCUGCUCUAAAUUGGUCGGUAGUUUCCAUUGUUGUGGCCAAGGCCCCCGUCUAACUGGAUUUCGGCUGAAACAAACUCUUGUUCCACACACCUUUUUUACGACACUAGAAGGUUAUGCCGUGAACGCUUCGCCUUUCAUCUGACAGUUGUUGAGUGAGGUGGUGCCUCUUAAUGGCCUAGCUGUUUGUAUCUGGAUCAAGUAUGAUCCUGCUGGCUUCUUGCACAGGCUUCUUUACGGCACCAGAAGCUCUGAUUCUUAUGUGGUCUCAUGAAAUAUUUGCUUGUCUCAGUACCUUUUCGGACCGCAGUGUCGACUGUUGUUGAUGCUAAAAUUAUCAUGUCACCAUUUGUGAAGCACCACUAGAUACACUGAGCAUUUGCUUCAGAAUAUGAAAGCUACGAGUCAUUCUAUUCGGAAUGUACAAAUAAGUUUUAAACUACUCUAUUCGGAAUGUGUGUCUGCGACAUGAAACUGGUGAUUGAUAGAGAAGUGUCUUCACCUGAUAUUGUAUCCCUUAUCUUUGCGGUGUGUUUGCUCAAAUGUGUCUUUGUAAGGCAAAAUUAAGCAGAAAAUUCAGAAUAGUAGUUGGAAAGUCGACCAGUGGGUAAGAGUAGCAGGUGGUGAUCCAGGGAAUGGGAGUUGCAUGCACAUCUACUAGUUUUUGCUUCUCACUGUACAUUUAUAAAUUCUUCACCUCCAACUGCUGUGUCAAGUCUUGUUUUGUUCUAUGUAAAAAGAUUGUGUCAUGGGUGAGUUCUUGUGAAACUGUUGUUUGCAUUCGGCAGCAGCUUCUGUUGGCCUUGAGGACCAGGUGGGCGAAGCCCUGGAAUGUGGGAUCAGGUACCAGCUGGAGGGUCUGGCUUUCCAGGCCGCCCUGGUUCUUGGGGCCCGCUUCUUUGGAUGCUGGUAAGUUGAAUCCUUGGCUACCUGAUGGAACCUUAUACUCCCUCCGGUCCUAUUUAAUUGACUCGGAUUUAGUAUAAAAUUGUACUAAAUCCGAGUCAAUUAAAUAAGACCGGAGGGAGUACUUCACAUCUGGUCACUGACAUCGUCACUUAUUUCAGUUAGGAUGUAAAAAAAAACCAAUUAAUCCAGUUUGAUUAUUAGUGGUUCAGUGUCCAUGGGUCAAGUACAUCGAAGUGCACUAGGUGAUGAAGCAUACAUUAGUCUUAUAGCAUUCUUCCUCCGUUUCUCUCGUUGAAUGCUUCUUUUGCAGCUUCUACCUCCUCUGUUGAUGUUGUCUGCUCCAAGAUUGUUGUGGCCCGUUUCUGGGGCACCCCGGCCUGGGCAGCCCACUGCCACCCAUUUGACAGCGUGCCAACACAUCCAUCGUGGCAUAUAAUGAACUGGGCUACAAUUCUUGGCCUAAACAUUCGCUGAAGAACUCAUUUGGUUGAACAUUCUGGCUGUUGGCAGAGCCCCUUGCUACUGAACUUAUACCAGUGAAAUCAUUUGUCUUGUAUCUCUUGAAGAUCAUUGUAUGCAGUCUUACCAAUUACUGAAUAUUAUUUCAUUGACUACUUUUUUUUUUGGUUAUACCUGAUGAUUGAAUGUAUCAGAUUAUCUUGUCAAUUUGUUCAGUUGCUAGUUUCUCCUGAGUUUGGAGCACCGCUUGUUGCAUCGAAUGUAAUGGUCCCAACUUUUCAGUGAAGUGUUGUGCUGCAAUUCAUUACA